This 465-nucleotide ribosomal RNA is filed under the name uncultured bacterium. RNAcentral describes it as "partial 16S ribosomal RNA". It matches the Rfam family "Bacterial small subunit ribosomal RNA", at positions 28 to 507 of the family's 1533-position model. The record is from RNAcentral.
GACGAACGCUGGCGGCGUGCUUAACACAUGCAAGUCGAACGGAAAGGCCCCUUUGGGGGUACUCGAGUGGCGAACGGGUGAGUAACUCGUGAGUAACCUGCCCUUGACUUCGGGAUAACUUCAGGAAACUGGGGCUAAUACCGGAUAGGAAUCCUUGCUGCAUGGUGGGGGUUGGAAAGCUUCGGCGGUUUUGGAUGGACUCGCGGCUUAUCAGCUUGUUGGUGGGGUAGUGGCUUACCAAGGCUUUGACGGGUAGCCGGCCUGAGAGGGCGACCGGCCACAUUGGGACUGAGAUACGGCCCAGACUCCUACGGGAGGCAGCAGUGGGGAAUAUUGCACAAUGGGCGGAAGCCUGAUGCAGCAACGCCGCGUGCGGGAUGACGGCCUUCGGGUUGUAAACCGCUUUCAGCAGGGGCGAAGCUUGUGGUGACGGUACCUGCAGAAGAAGCACCGGCUAACUACGUG